RNAcentral lists this long non-coding RNA (1475 nucleotides) under Medicago truncatula (barrel medic). RNAcentral describes it as "long non-coding RNA (MTRU_LNC007003)". Lineage: Eukaryota; Viridiplantae; Streptophyta; Magnoliopsida; Fabales; Fabaceae. The record is from RNAcentral.
CAUUUUAUAAUAAUAUAACAACAACAACAUAUUCAUCAUUUUAUAAUAAUAUAAUAACAACAUGUUCAUCAUUUUAUAACAACAACAUAUUCAUCAUCUUAUAAAAAUAUAAACAACACAUAAUAACAUCAUAAUCAACAUCACAAACAACAUCAUAUAACAACAUCACAACAACAUCAUAUAACAACAUCACAAUCAAUAUCAUAAACAACAAAGCAAUCGUCAUAAGCAACUUGACAACAUCAUGAACAUCGUAUAAUCUUCAUAGGUACUUCUUUAACAACACAUGGGUAGAAUAAAACUCAGCAACUCAUAGAUGAUAAUUCAUUAACAACUUGACAACUCAUGGAUGAUAAUUCAUCAACAACGACAUUGACUUGACAAUGCGACUCGAACUCGACUAUGCAACUUAGACCUCUUAUAUGCAUGUGGUACCAAUUCAGGGCAUGAGCCCCCAAAGGUUAUUGAGUAUUAAUAUACUUCCAGGGCAUAAGCCUCCAUCGCUAAUUUGAGCUAAAGCUCCAUCGUGGUGAGUACAAAGCUCCAUUGUGGUGAGUACAAAGCUCCAGGGCCUGAGCCCCCAACAAAUGUAUGCUAAUGCAUGGACUCGAUCUCUUAAACAUCAUAAUCAUCAUCUCUUAUAUUAGUCCAAUAAUUUGGAACAUCAUUAUCUUCAACAACUAAGACAACAUCAACAACUUAAGACUCCAAUACUUUGGAAUACUUUGGAACGACAACUUACAACUUUACAACUUAGACCAACACCUGCAACUUGAUCAAUAUUCAACAGCAACAGAAACAGCACAAGCAAUUCACAACAUAACAAUAUUAAUGUGAAGCAUCAACAACUUAAACAUCAUACAUCUUCCACAUAAGGCAUAUAAAUAUUUCACAUAACCAACAACAGCAACAUAGACAGCACAUAAACAUCUCAAGAUAUAACAAUAUCAAAUGAUAAUCAACAACAACUUAAACAUCUUAUAUAAUUCACAUAAUACAUAUAUAAAUAUAUUACAUUACCAUCAACAUCAAAUCAUAUUCAAAUAAUUCUCAAGUAAUGCAUAAAACAUUAUAUCACAUCAUAAUCAACAACAACACAUCUUAAACAUCUUCACAGAUUAUAAUUAGCCUCUUCAUUAAGUCUUAAUACUACCCAAAAGUUCAACUCUCAACAACUCGUGCAACAAAGGUCGCAAAGUCUCACAAGGCACUUUGUUUCCGGGUCACUCGUGAGGCGAGAGCCUCUGCUCGCCAUGGCGAGUUCUGGUCAGAAUCCCACAAGUUUCAUUCCAGGUUCAAUCUCAUCCUACAUUCUUUCCUAAUCAUUAUUAGUAAUGUUCAGGCACUCAAAGGCAUCUAAGGUUCAACUCAAAAGUCAAAAAUACAGAAUUCAACAUGCUCUCUGGUCAUGCUCGCCAUGGCGAGUAAGGUUGUUCGCUGUGGCGAGCUACGACUUAUAACUCGCGAGGCGAAGG